RNAcentral lists this ribosomal RNA (1400 nucleotides) under Modestobacter sp. RNAcentral describes it as "bacterial SSU rRNA". It matches the Rfam family "Bacterial small subunit ribosomal RNA". Lineage: Bacteria; Bacillati; Actinomycetota; Actinomycetes; Geodermatophilales; Geodermatophilaceae. The record is from RNAcentral.
UACACAUGCAGUCGAGCGAGGCCCAUCCUUCGGGGUGGUGCCCUAGCGGCGAACGGGUGAGUAACACGUGGGCAACCUGCCCUCAGCUCUGGGAUAACUCCAAGAAAUUGGUGCUAAUACCGGAUGUGACCGCUGACCGCAUGGUCUGGUGGUGGAAAGAUUUAUCGGCUGAGGAUGGGCCCGCGGCCUAUCAGCUUGUUGGUGGGGUGAUGGCCUACCAAGGCGACGACGGGUAGCCGGCCUGAGAGGGUGACCGGCCACACUGGGACUGAGACACGGCCCAGACUCCUACGGGAGGCAGCAGUGGGGAAUAUUGCGCAAUGGGCGAAAGCCUGACGCAGCGACGCCGCGUGAGGGAUGACGGCCUUCGGGUUGUAAACCUCUUUCAGCAGGGACGAAGCGGAAGUGACGGUACCUGCAGAAGAAGCACCGGCCAACUACGUGCCAGCAGCCGCGGUAAUACGUAGGGUGCAAGCGUUGUCCGGAAUUAUUGGGCGUAAAGAGCUCGUAGGCGGUCUGUCACGUCGGCUGUGAAAACCCGAGGCUCAACCUCGGGCCUGCAGUCGAUACGGGCAAACUAGAGUGUGGAAGGGGAGACUGGAAUUCCUGGUGUAGCGGUGAAAUGCGCAGAUAUCAGGAGGAACACCGGUGGCGAAGGCGGGUCUCUGGGCAACAACUGACGCUGAGGAAGGAAAAGCGUGGGGGAGCAAACAGGAUUAAAUACCCCUGGUAGUCCACGCCGUAAACGUUGGGCGCUAGGUGUGGGGGCCAUUCCACGGUCUCCGUGCCGCAGCUAACGCAUUAAGCGCCCCGCCUGGGGAGUACGGCCGCAAGGCUAAAACUCAAAGGAAUUGACGGGGGCCCGCACAAGCGGCGGAGCAUGUUGCUUAAUUCGAUGCAACGCGAAGAACCUUACCUAGGCUUGACAUGCACGGAAAUCUCGCAGAGAUGCGGGGUGCCUUUGGCGUCGUGCACAGGUGGUGCAUGGUUGUCGUCAGCUCGUGUCGUGAGAUGUUGGGUUAAGUCCCGCAACGAGCGCAACCCUCGUUCUAUGUUGCCAGCACGUCAUGGUGGGGACUCAUAGGAGACUGCCGGGGUCAACUCGGAGGAAGGUGGGGAUGACGUCAAAUCAUCAUGCCCCUUAUGUCUAGGGCUGCAAACAUGCUACAAUGGCCGGUACAAAGGGCUGCGAUACCGUGAGGUGGAGCGAAUCCCAAAAAGCCGGUCUCAGUUCGGAUUGGGGUCUGCAACUCGACCCCAUGAAGUUGGAGUCGCUAGUAAUCGCAGAUCAGCAACGCUGCGGUGAAUACGUUCCCGGGCCUUGUACACACCGCCCGUCACGUCACGAAAGUCGGUAACGCCCGAAGCCGGUGGCCCAACCCCUUGUGGGAGGGAGCCUC